GUAGCGUUUCUGUCGGUGGCAGGCAUCGACGAGGUGUGAUUUAGAAGGCAUUUGUGAGUACGGCAUGGACUGCGUCGGAGCUGUGGACAGCAGCGGCCAGCAUUCCCCCGUCUUACUGGGCUGAGGCACUCAACACCACUACUCGUCUUCUCAACAUUUUGCCAACCAAGACACUUCGUUUUUCCACCCCUCACCAAGCCCUCUUCGGUACAGCUCCAGUCUAUAAUCAUCUUCGUGUCUUUGGUUGCAAAUGCUAUCCUAACUUGUUAGCCACUUCCCCCACAAACUUGCUCCUCGUUCUGUUUUGUGUGUCUUCCUUGGUUAUUCUGAUCAUCACAAAGGAUAUCGAUGCCUCGAUAUUCACUCCAACAAGAUCAUCAUAUCUCGGCACGUAGUCUUUGAUGAGACUUCUUUUCCCUUUGCCGAACAGUCAUCCACACCCACUGCCGAGGAUUUCGAGUUUCUCUUAGAUUCUCACCCUGCCGUGCCUGCUCCUAUUGGAUCAGCACGUUUCUGUCUCCUUCCUGCAGGUAUAACAGACGCUCCCGCACAGCCACGUGCGGCCCCUGUAGCAGCAGUCAGCAGUCCGUGCUCCAACGACCAGCUGCUGCCCCUGCCUACCGCCGCACCUACACCUGAUCCUGGCUCCGCCCGGACAAACGACGCUGCACCUGCAGUCGUUGCCGACCGCGCCCCGGAUACCCAGCCGGGUCCCGGCCCUCGACGCUUCGACGGAUUCGUCUACACUCGUCGUUCUGCGCCAGCUCCGACUGCUGAUGCUACUCCUUCACCGCAGGCGCCCGCUGCAACAACGCCCGUUGCUGCACCCGCUGCACCGACGCCUGUUGCUGCUUCUUCGCCUUCAGCAGCCGCAUCUCAGCUCCCACCCGGCGCUGUUCCUGUUCCCCCGGUCGUCAACCAUCACCGCAUGACUACUCGAGCAAAACUGGGGUUUCGACAGCCAGCUCUAUUUCACGCAGCACAACUCUCACCUGUGCCACGGACCUAUCGAGCUGCUCUUGCUGAUCCUCACUGGCGCCAGGCCAUGGAAGAGGAGUUCUCGGCUCUCUUGGGGAACAACACUUGGGAUCUUGUUCCUCGUCCUCCGGCUGCCAAUAUUGUCUCCGGCAAGUGGGUUUUCAAGCACAAGUUCCAUGCUGAUGGUUCUCUUGAGAGGUACAAGGCUCGUUGGGUUCUUCGAGGUUUCUCACAGCGUCCUGGCAUUGAUUUUGAUGAGACCUUCAGUCCGGUUGUGAAGCCUGCUACAGUGCGCACUGUGUUGACUCUUGCACUGUCUCGCAACUGGCCUGUUCAUCAGCUCGACGUCAAGAAUGCAUUUCUUCAUGGCACUCUGUCAGAAACAGUAUAUUGCUCCCAGCCUUCUGGUUUUACAGAUUCAGCUCACCCCGACUUCGUCUGCCGGUUGAAUCGUUCUUUAUAUGGUCUCAAACAGGCGCCCCGCGCCUGGUACAGCCGGUUUGCCUCGUUUCUGCUCUCACUUGGUUUUGUGGAGGCUAAAUCUGACACAUCUCUGUUUGUCUACUGUCGCGGCACUGACUUGGUGUAUCUCCUGCUCUAUGUUGAUGACAUUGUGCUCACAGCCUCAUCCACAGCUCUCCUACGGCGCAUCAUUGGAACUCUUCAGCAGGAGUUUUCCAUGAAGGAUCUCGGCGAGCUUCAUCACUUUUUGGGGAUGCAGGUUCAGCGCACUCCGAGUGGCCUGUUCCUCUCUCAGCGGCAGUACAUGGUUGACAUUCUGACUCGCGCUGGCAUGGCCGAAUGCAAGCCUUGCUCCACUCCUGUCGAUGUAAAUCCCAAGCUCUCAGGCACAGAUGGUACUCCAGCCACUGAUCCUACGGAUUUUCGCAGUUUGGCAGGGGCUCUCCAGUACCUGACUUUCACUCGACCAGAUAUUGCUUAUGCUGUUCAGCAGGUCUGCCUUCAUAUGCAUGAUCCCCGCGAGCCCCACCUCGCUGCUCUGAAACGGAUUCUUCGUUAUGUUCGUGGCACUCUCCACCUCGGAUUGUUACUUCGCCCCUCUGCGCAAACUGAGUUGGUGGUCUACUCUGAUGCUGAUUGGGCUGGUUGUCCAGAUACACGCAGGUCUACCUCGGGCUACGCUGUGUUCCUAGGAGACAGUCUUAUCUCCUGGUCUUCCAAGCGACAGAACACUGUCUCCCGCUCCAGUGCCGAGGCUGAAUAUCGUGCUGUCGCUAACGCUGUUGCCGAAGCUACCUGGUUGCGCCAGCUUCUUCUAGAGCUGCAUGCUCCUCUGCAGCGCGCUGCAUUGGUUUACUGUGACAACAUCAGCACUGUCUACAUGUCCUCUAAUCCGGUUCAGCAUCAGCGCACGAAGCACAUUGAGAUUGAUCUUCACUUUGUCCGCGAGCGGGUUGCUCUUGGUACUAUUCGUGUUCUUCACGUCCCUACCACUUCCCAGUACGCCGACAUCUUCACCAAAGGCCUGCCAUCUUCAUUGUUCACUGAGUUCCGGUCCAGUCUGAACGUCCAGGCUUUCGACGCUCCGACUGCGGGGGGGUGUUAGCAGUCUUGACUGCGCCAUGCAGGCAGUCCCAACAGGCUGGCGCCAUCUCUGUCCCUAUCAGCCACAUAAGGACAGCCAUCUGCUGAUUGGUUCUGAUUAGGACAGCUAGAGAUAUGUAGAGAUAUGAGGGGAUCCUGAUUGGUUAUGUUUCUAUAGCUAGAGACCCUGAUUGGUUAUGUUUCUAUAGCUAGAGAUGUGAGGAGAUCAUGAUUGGUUCUGUUUCCAUAAACCACACAGAUCUCCUCCCUAUAUAUAUGUAACCUUUAACCCUCAUAUCAUCAAUCAAUAUUCAGCAGUUCAUCUGCUUUCAUGGUAUCACGAGUCUAGGUUCAUUUCUACUCACCUUCCGCUGUCUAGCGCGCUCACCCGACGCUGCUACGGCUGCUGCUCCUGCGCGCCGUCCAUGGCUAGCCACCAGCCCCCUUCUCCCAGAGUCGACGACGCUGCUGCGGCAGAGGCUGCUCUGCGCGCGCAGCAGGAGAGGGCUGCUCGUCUUCAAACUCGCGAGCUCGCCCUUGCGCGUGCCCGCGAUGCUGAACGCGAGGCGACUGAGGCCACCAAGGAGCGCGACGCGGCCGCCGCCCGCAUCCGCGACGCUCUCGCCCGGGCCGCCCAGGCCCGCGCCGCUGCUGAUCCUUUGGACGAGGAGGUCAACAACGACGACGCCUCCACCAUUCGUGACGACGCUCCUGACGCUCGCACGCGUGAAGCUCUUCUCCUUCAUGAAGCCGCUGCGCUCAUCAAUCUGCACGCUCAGGCGGUUGCAGUUCAGAACAUCAGGGCUAUCAUUCCCGUCCUCCUCGACGUGUCGUCCACCCUCUACACCCGGUGGCGCGACGCCUUCCUGCUCGCCGUCGGCAAGUACUCCCUGGAAGGCCACGUUCUCACCGACGACUACACACCCUUCUCUCCAGAUUGGGUGCGGAUGGAUUGCGUCGUCAAGUCUUGGAUCGUCGGCACCAUCACCACCGAGCUAGCGGACGCCGUUCUCAUUCGCGACGUCUCCGCCCGCGCCGCGUGGCUCGCCAUAGAAUCCCAGUUCCUCGGGAACCGGGAGACUCGAGCUCUCUUCCUCGACGCGGAGUUUCGCAACUUCCGCCAAGGCGAUCUCUCCAUCACCGACUACUGUCGCAAGUUCAAAGGGAUGGCCGAUGCCCUCGGUGAUCUUGGUGAGCCCGUUCCCGACCGCACUCUCGUCCUCAACGUCAUCCGCGGCCUCAACGAACGUUUCAGCAGCAUCGGUCUUCAUCUUCGACGCGGGCGGCCUCUUCCUACCUUCUUGGAGGUACGAAACGAUCUUCUCCUCGAGGAACUUACCUUGGCACAUCACUCCUCGACAUCGGCCACCGCUCUGCUCGCCUCCGGACCACCUAAGGCGUCGCCGAACAACUCCAAGCCGAAGCAGCAGCCGCACCAGCAGUCACGGGGCAAACGUGCUGGGAAGAAGGGCGGGCGUUCGCAGCCAAACGGCGCAGCUCCCGGUGGCUUCUUCUCCGGCCCCUCUGUUGGUGGACAGUGGUCGUCCCCUAUCCGUGGACAGUGGCCGUCCCCCCACAAUCCGUGGUCCGGGUCCAUCCACAUGUGGCCCGGCCCGCGGGCUCCAGGCGCUCCUUCGACUCCUCGCCACGAUGCUCAGCAACAGCCACCCCCGCUGCCCCAGUCCCUACUCGCCGGUGCCCAGGGGCAGUGGUCUGGGAUCCAGCAGCCACUUCCACCAUGGCCUGGGAGCCAGCAACCGCCGCCAUUGACUACCCAGCAGCAGUGGCAAGCUCCACCGCCUGGCUUCUACAGCUCGAGCGCUCCUCUCCCUUCCUGGGAUCAGCAGGCGCUCCUCUCCGACUUCAGCACCAUGACACUGCAGCCCCCUCAGCAGCGUGAGUGGUACUUCGACUCGGGCGCCACCACUCACAUGUCCUCUGAUGCUGGUACUCUCUCCCAGUCCACUCCUACGCAGCUUCCUUGCUCUAUUAUUGUCGGCAAUGGUCAUUCCAUUCCUGUUAUUUCUGCUGGUCAUGCUGCUCUUUCCAAUUCCCUUCGUCUUAACAAUGUUCUUGUUGCACCUAAUCUCAUUAAGAAUCUUAUUUCUGUGCGCCAGUUCACUUCUGACAAUAAUUGCUCAGUUGAAUUUGACCCUUUUGGCUGCUCUGUGAAGGAUCUUCUCUCUCGGAAAGAGAUCGUCCGCUGUGACAGCUCCGGUCCUCUCUACCCGCUGCGGCUUUCAGCAUCCACCUUUCAUGCUGCUGUUUCACCAUCGCUCUGGCAUCAACGUCUUGGGCAUCCAGGUCGCGAAGUCAUGUCCAAACUAGCACACAUUUCGGGGAUUUCUUGUAAUAAGAAUGCUACUACUGAUACUUUGUGUCAUGCAUGUCAGUUAGGUCGUCAUACUUGUCUUCCUUUUAGUGUGUCAUCAUCCCGUGCCACUAAAAUUUUCCAGUUAAUUCACUGUGACCUGUGGACUUCUCCUGUGUUGAGUAUUUCUGGUUUCAAAUAUUAUCUGGUUAUACUUGAUGAUUACUCACAUUACCUAUGGACUUUCCCCCUACGCCUUAAGUCUGACACAUUUGCCACUCUUACUCAUUUCUUCUCCUAUGUGCAUACUCAGUUUGGCGUCCCCAUUCAAGGUGUUCAGUGCGAUAACGGUCGUGAGUUUGACAACUCUAGUACCCGCGCUUUCUUCCUCACCAAUGGUGUCCAUCUCCGGAUGUCAUGCCCCUAUACUUCGCCUCAGAACGGCAAAGCCGAACGCAUCAUUCGCACCAUUAAUGACGUUGUUCGCUCCCUUCUUUUUCAGGCCAGCAUUCCCCCGUCUUACUGGGCUGAGGCACUCAACACCACUACUCGUCUUCUCAACAUUUUGCCAACCAAGACACCCCGCCCCGCUCCGAUACCAUGAAAGCAGAUGAACUGCUGAAUAUUGAUUGAUGAUAUGAGGGUUAAAGCUUACAUAUAUAUAGGGAGGAGAUCUGUGUGGUUUAUGGAAACAGAACCAAUCAUGAUCUCCUUACAUCUCUAGCUAUAGAAACAUAACCAAUCAGGGUCUCUAGCUAUAGAAACAUAACCAAUCAGGAUCCCCUCAUAUCUCUACAUAUCUCUAGCUGUCCUAAUCAGAACCAAUCAGCAGAUGGCUGUCCUUAUGUGGCUGAUAGGGACAGAGAUGGCGCCAGCCUGUAGGGACUGCCUGCAUGGCGCAGUCAAGACUGCUAACAGUGCCAGUGGGAUACAACUUUUCACUGGCCUGUUCAUCAGCUGCUAUUUUUCUUUCCACAUAACACUCCGGUGGAACUACAAUUGGAUUUGUCGGUUAUGACUAUGUGCACCCAUUGCAAAAGAAGACAGAAAAGGCCAAAUGGCCAAUGCAAAUCAUGAUUUGUCAGUAGGGAAUAUUGACUAUGUAUUUUGAAGCUGGGUUGUGUUUGGUUCAAUCUACUAGGAGACCAGAGCAUUAAAAAUAAGAAAACAUUGUUAUAGGCUUAUAGCAUUGAAAUGGUCACCUUCAUCAACAAAAUUUUCAUAUGAACCGAUGAUGAUCUUCCACAAUCAUAUCAGAACAGCAGAGGCAUGAAAGGCAGUGGACGCAUCACUGGUAAUGGAAGAGAUAGUGUUGGUGCUUCUCUGUAUACUAGAGUUCAACCUCAGACAGACAUGGAAACACAAAUACAUGAGCUUGAGCAAGAAGCAUAUUGUUCAGUUCUUAGAGCAUUCAAGGCUCAAUCUGAUGCUAUAACAUGGGAAAAAGAAAGUCUCAUUACUGAGCUUAGGAAGGAGCUACAAGUAUCUGACAAGGAACACAGGGAGUUGCUAAACAAAGUUAAUGGCGAUGAUAUUAUUCGAAGAAUAAGGAAAUGGAGAGAGUCAACUGGUGGGCUUAUGAUUAAUUUGGUGAAUAAUUCUCAGCGUACACAUGACCCUAUUCCCAGCCCUACGACAUCUGCUCGCAAGAGGCAAAAGAUGUCUCAACCCAUUCUCUCUGCAUGUGUACCUGCACCAUCUGCUAUGCAUUCACAGCCUUUAACUGCACCGAUGCAACCAUCAUCUUCAGGAGCAAAAAAGGGAGCUCAACCCGGCACAAAAGUGAAGAAGACCAAACCAGGCCAGAAGAUACCUGGUGGCUCUGCAGUCAAAUCUAUGCCAUCUUCUGCUGGUCCUGGUGGGCGAGGAACUAUUAUCAAUAGGAAUAUGUCUGCUGGCCUUCCACCUGAAAGUUCACAAUUAAAUCCAUUAAUUGGUCGUAAAGUCAUGACUCGGUGGCCUGACGAUAAUAGCUUUUAUGAAGCUGAAAUAACUGACUAUGAUGCAUCAAAGGAUAUCUAUACACUGGUUUAUGACAUAAAUACAGCAGACGAGACAUGGGAAUGGGUUGACUUCAAGGAGAUGGCACCUGAGGAUAUAAGAUGGGAUGGCGAGGAGCCUGAUUUAAACCUUAUAGGUCGUGGUGCUCCCGUCCAUGGUAUGAAGUCAAGCAGUCGUGGUGGCCCCAUGUCAGGUACCGGAAGAGACAGAGGUCCCCAAAAGAACUCAUUCAAGAAAGAUUAUCCAUCACAAAACGGUAUUGGGAAGAAGAGUGUUGACUACAUAGAAAUUCUCCAUACAGAGACACUCAUAAAGGAGGUGGAGCGGGUUUUCAGUUCAGCCAACCCUGACCCCCUUGAGAUGGAGAGGGCUAAGAAAGCGCUAAAGGAGCACGAACAAUCAUUAAUUGAUGCGAUUGCAAGGCUUGCUGAGGCGUCUGAUGAUGAUCGUGUGCGAUCUUUGGAGUAUAACCGUGGAUGGAGGAACCAACAUGGAGGAAGAUAUGCGGAUGAUAUGACCAUGGACGGCCACAUGGCUGGAGAUGCAGAUGCCAUGUAAACCUGCCAAUGUGUACACAAAAUUCCUUCAUUAGCUUAUUUUUUGCCUGUUGUAAAAUCUUGACGCUAAUUUUUCUCUCUCUAGAUUUAGCCGUAGGUACUUCUGAUUGGUCCUAACCAAAGAAACAGUUAGGAUCACCACUCUGAUUGUUCAGCUUUUGUAGUAGAAUUACGCCCAGCUCAUCCUUUACACUGUAAAUUUAGAUUUGGAGCUGAUUUUGUCGGUCGCUAGACAUUUGAUAAGCAUCUGCCGUGGCCUGUUUGGUUUCCUAGUGCAAACGGAAGGCAUUUUUGCUAAUGUUGUACUACCUCCAUUUUUUUAUUUGACGCAGGUUGGUUCAAUUUUAUACUAAAAAAAUAUAAAAAAUCGGAGGGAGUAGCUAGUAAUGUUGUGUUAUAGCACAAAGGGUGUAAUAGGAUCAACUAUGGAUAGCUGUCGAAUACAGACAUGACUGGAUGCUCGGUUACAAAUACUAAUAAGAGGCUGUUUGGUUA
Molecule: RNA transcript, 7887 nt
Organism: Zea mays
Lineage: Eukaryota; Viridiplantae; Streptophyta; Magnoliopsida; Poales; Poaceae
Exons: 11
Source: RefSeq, marked validated